GCUGACGAGUGGCGGACGGGUGAGUAAUGUCUGGGAAACUGCCUGAUGGAGGGGGAUAACUACUGGAAACGGUGGCUAAUACCGCAUAACGUCGCAAGACCAAAGAGGGGGACCUUCGGGCCUCUUGCCAUCAGAUGUGCCCAGAUGGGAUUAGCUUGUUGGUGAGGUAACGGCUCACCAAGGCGACGAUCCCUAGCUGGUCUGAGAGGAUGACCAGCCACACUGGAACUGAGACACGGUCCAGACUCCUACGGGAGGCAGCAGUGGGGAAUAUUGCACAAUGGGCGCAAGCCUGAUGCAGCCAUGCCGCGUGUAUGAAGAAGGCCUUCGGGUUGUAAAGUACUUUCAGCGGGGAGGAAGGUGUUGUGGUUAAUAACCGCAGCAAUUGACGUUACCCGCAGAAGAAGCACCGGCUAACUCCGUGCCAGCAGCCGCGGUAAUACGGAGGGUGCAAGCGUUAAUCGGAAUUACUGGGCGUAAAGCGCACGCAGGCGGUCUGUCAAGUCGGAUGUGAAAUCCCCGGGCUCAACCUGGGAACUGCAUUCGAAACUGGCAGGCUUGAGUCUUGUAGAGGGGGGUAGAAUUCCAGGUGUAGCGGUGAAAUGCGUAGAGAUCUGGAGGAAUACCGGUGGCGAAGGCGGCCCCCUGGACAAAGACUGACGCUCAGGUGCGAAAGCGUGGGGAGCAAACAGGAUUAGAUACCCUGGUAGUCCACGCCGUAAACGAUGUCUACUUGGAGGUUGUGCCCUUGAGGCGUGGCUUCCGGAGCUAACGCGUUAAGUAGACCGCCUGGGGAGUACGGCCGCAAGGUUAAAACUCAAAUGAAUUGACGGGGGCCCGCACAAGCGGUGGAGCAUGUGGUUUAAUUCGAUGCAACGCGAAGAACCUUACCUGGUCUUGACAUCCACAGAAGAAUCCAGAGAUGGAUUUGUGCCUUCGGGAACUGUGAGACAGGUGCUGCAUGGCUGUCGUCAGCUCGUGUUGUGAAAUGUUGGGUUAAGUCCCGCAACGAGCGCAACCCUUAUCCUUUGUUGCCAGCGGUCCGGCCGGGAACUCAAAGGAGACUGCCAGUGAUAAACUGGAGGAAGGUGGGGAUGACGUCAAGUCAUCAUGGCCCUUACGACCAGGGCUACACACGUGCUACAAUGGCGCAUACAAAGAGAAGCGACCUCGCGAGAGCAAGCGGACCUCAUAAAGUGCGUCGUAGUCCGGAUUGGAGUCUGCAACUCGACUCCAUGAAGUCGGAAUCGCUAGUAAUCGUGGAUCAGAAUGCCACGGUGAAUACGUUCCCGGGCCUUGUACACACCGCCCGUCACACCAUGGGAGUGGGUUGCAAAAGAAGUAGGUAGCUUAACCUUCGGGAGGGCGCUUACCACUUUGUGAUUCAUGACUGGGGUGAAGUCGUAACAAGGUAACCGUAGGGGAACCUGCGGUUGGAUCACCUCCUUACCUUAAAGAAGC
This 1461-nucleotide ribosomal RNA is filed under the name Salmonella enterica subsp. enterica serovar Kentucky. RNAcentral describes it as "bacterial SSU rRNA". It matches the Rfam family "Bacterial small subunit ribosomal RNA". The record is from RNAcentral. Lineage: Bacteria; Pseudomonadati; Pseudomonadota; Gammaproteobacteria; Enterobacterales; Enterobacteriaceae.